Molecule: ribosomal RNA, 254 nt
Filed under: uncultured bacterium
Lineage: Bacteria
Description: partial 16S ribosomal RNA
Rfam family: Bacterial small subunit ribosomal RNA
Source: RNAcentral
UACGUAGGGAGCAAGCGUUGUUCGGAUUUACUGGGCGUAAAGGGCGCGUAGGCGGCAUGUUAAGUCAGCUGUGAAAUCUCCGAGCUUAACUCGGAACUGUCAGCUGAUACUGAUGUGCUUGAGUGCGGAAGGGGCAAUCGGAAUUCUUGGUGUAGCGGUGAAAUGCGUAGAUAUCAAGAGGAACACCUGAGGUGAAGACGGGUUGCUGGGCCGACACUGACGCUGAGUGCGCGAAAGCCAGGGGAGCAAACGGG